RNAcentral lists this ribosomal RNA (492 nucleotides) under uncultured bacterium. RNAcentral describes it as "partial 16S ribosomal RNA". It matches the Rfam family "Bacterial small subunit ribosomal RNA", at positions 29 to 507 of the family's 1533-position model. The record is from RNAcentral.
AGUGAACGCUGGCGGUAUGCCUAACACAUGCAAGUCGAACGGCAGCACAGUAAGAGCUUGCUCUUACGGGUGGCGAGUGGCGGACGGGUGAGGAAUACAUCGGAAUCUACUUUUUCGUGGGGGAUAACGUAGGGAAACUUACGCUAAUACCGCAUACGACCUACGGGUGAAAGCAGGGGAUCUUCGGACCUUGCGCGAUUGAAUGAGCCGAUGUCGGAUUAGCUAGUUGGCGGGGUAAAGGCCCACCAAGGCGACGAUCCGUAGCUGGUCUGAGAGGAUGAUCAGCCACACGGGAACGGGGACACGGUCCAGACUCCUACGGGAGGCAGCAGUGGGGAAUAUUGGACAAUGGGCGCAAGCCUGAUCCAGCCAUACCGCGUGGGUGAAGAAGGCCUUCGGGUUGUAAAGCCCUUUUGUUGGGAAAGAAAAGCAGCAGGUUAAUACCCCGCGGUUCUGACGGUACCCAAAGAAUAAGCACCGGCUAACUUCGUG